This 497-nucleotide ribosomal RNA is filed under the name uncultured bacterium. RNAcentral describes it as "partial 16S ribosomal RNA". It matches the Rfam family "Bacterial small subunit ribosomal RNA", at positions 28 to 507 of the family's 1533-position model. The record is from RNAcentral.
GAUGAACGCUGGCGGCGUGCCUAAUACAUGCGAGUCGAGCGAAUAGACGAGGAGCUUGCUCCUCUGACGUUAGCGGCGGACGGGUGAGUAACACGUGGAUAACCUACCUAUAAGACUGGGAUAACUUCGGGAAACCGGAGCUAAUACCGGAUAAUAUAUUGAACCGCAUGGUUCAAUAGUGAAAGACGGUUUUGCUGUCACUUAUAGAUGGAUCCGCGCCGCAUUAGCUAGUUGGUAAGGUAACGGCUUACCAAGGCAACGAUGCGUAGCCGACCUGAGAGGGUGAUCGGCCACACUGGAACUGAGACACGGUCCAGACUCCUACGGGAGGCAGCAGUAGGGAAUCUUCCGCAAUGGGCGAAAGCUUGACGGAGCAACGCCGCGUGAGUGAUGAAGGUCUUCGGAUCGUAAAACUCUGUUAUUAGGGAAGAACAAAUGUGUAAGUAACUAUGCACGUCUUGACGGUACCUAAUCAGAAAGCCACGGCUAACUACGUG